Molecule: long non-coding RNA, 1619 nt
Organism: Homo sapiens (human)
Lineage: Eukaryota; Metazoa; Chordata; Mammalia; Primates; Hominidae
Product: long intergenic non-protein coding RNA 635
Source: Ensembl
AACAGCAGCGUAGCUGAACAUCUUACGGAUGGCCCAGGGCUCCAAAGGCUCGUUUCCUAAGUGAGAGAGAGCCUGGCUGAAGCUGUAUUACCAUUCAUUCUCCAGCCUCCGAAGUCUCAAAGCAUCACUUCCACCAUACUCUAACUGUCAAGACAAACACAAAGGCCCAGAAACUGCCAGACUGUCUUCUGAAGUGGCUAUAAUAUUUACACUCCCAUCAGCAGUGUAGAAGGGGUCUCACUAUGUUGUCUGGAGUGCUGUGGUGGAGUGGAGUGGCUAUUCACAGAGCCUGUUCUGCUGGGACACAGAAUCACUUGCUCCAUCUCAUACAUUGAUGAUGAUUAAUUUGUAUGUGUACCUUCCAAAAAAGAUGGUUGUGUUUGAAUGGAGGCCUUCUGGACAGGAAAAUAUGGAGAGUGCGUGCUUUGGAUUCAAGACUGGGAAUGAGGGGACCAGAAACCUAUUCUGUGGCUGUUUCUUGUUAGGACUUUCCUAAGCCUCUGGAAAAGUGCAAAGUACAAUUAACAUUUGAGUCUGUCUGAGUCAUGAAGAAAUGGAGAUUACUGAAAAUAAUUCAUUUUGGUAUCUUCUUACAUCCUGAGAGACUAAUCUUUCCAAGUUCAUCUGAGGCUCCUCUUCUCCAUGACAACCUCAUCCAGGGAUUUCUUCCUGUCCUGGUGUUUUAUGACAUGUGGAAGGGGACUGUAGCAGGUGAUCUCCAAAGUCUCUGGAGACUUACUAAUGUGCAUCCUCAUCUCGCUUGUAAGGAUAAUAGCCUUCCUCCAAACCUCACACACUUUUGGAGGAGAUCACUUUUUUUAAAGUGCAUGGAAAUGUUUUGAAACAGUGAAAUCUAUAAUGAUAGGUUUCAUAAUUCUAACAUCCACACCAUAUGAAUCACAUCCUUCCUGAGAUAAUGAGCACACAAUUGCCUGGAUACCUGAAGGAAUGGAGACAGCGGCAGAAAACACUGCAGAGAGGUGGAAACAUCCGUUAAUAUUUUAAAAUCCCAUUACUGCUACCAACAAUAAUAAUGGAUGCAUAGAAAUAGAUCUGGAUUAGCUGAGCUUGAAACAGUCCAUCUCACACACACACAAAAGAAUUUCAGAUACAGUGAACCCACAUGUUGAAGCUUUCUAGUAUAAUAAAAAUUUCAACUGUUCUGUUGAAUCAUCUGCCUGAUUGGAGGCUACAGAAAAGAUGUCAUCUUAGGAGUGCUUGCUCUGAGUGAGGCUCAUCUUCAAAUCUGAAUGACCACAAGGAGAUUUGAUUAUACAUGUGAACACCUCAGAAGGCACAGCCCACCCAGAAGGCAGACAGAAGAAGCUGCCAGGAAGACUGUGAAAUCUUCAUGCCCAAGGAUCCCUAAAAUUAGGAGCAACAACCACUUGGCUCAGACGGUUUAUGGAGGCAAAGGUUUGGAUGGGAUUAGAGAUUUCUAAAUGAGGAGACAGACACUAGAGCUCACCGGCUCGCCCUCUCACUCCUACUCAUCUGAGAAGGCAGCCAGCUAACCCUUCAGCCAGGAAGAGGGUCCUCAUCAGAACCUGGCCGUGGUGGCAUCCAGAUCUUGAACCUCCGGACUCCAGACUGUGAGAAAAUAAGUGUGUUGUUUAAAC